UACGUAGGUGGCAAGCGUUAUCCGGAAUUAUUGGGCGUAAAGCGCGCGCAGGCGGUUUCUUAAGUCUGAUGUGAAAGCCCACGGCUCAACCGUGGAGGGUCAUUGGAAACUGGGAAACUUGAGUGCAGAAGAGAAAAGCGGAGUUCCACGUGUAGCGGUGAAAUGCGUAGAGAUGUGGAGGAACACCAGUGGCGAAGGCGGCUUUUUGGUCUGUAACUGACGCUGAGGCGCGAAAGCGUGGGGAGCAAACAGG
This 253-nucleotide ribosomal RNA is filed under the name uncultured bacterium. RNAcentral describes it as "partial 16S ribosomal RNA". It matches the Rfam family "Bacterial small subunit ribosomal RNA", at positions 524 to 776 of the family's 1533-position model. The record is from RNAcentral.